AACGAACGCUGGCGGCAUGCCUAACACAUGCAAGUCGAACGAAGCCUUCGGGCUUAGUGGCGCACGGGUGCGUAACGCGUGGGAAUCUGCCCUUGGGUUCGGAAUAACAGUUAGAAACGACUGCUAAUACCGAAUGAUGUCUUCGGACCAAAGAUUUAUCGCCCAAGGAUGAGCCCGCGUCGGAUUAGCUAGUUGGUGAGGUAAAGGCUCACCAAGGCGACGAUCCGUAGCUGGUCUGAGAGGAUGAUCAGCCACACUGGGACUGAGACACGGCCCAGACUCCUACGGGAGGCAGCAGUGGGGAAUAUUGGACAAUGGCGAAAGCCUGAUCCAGCAAUGCCGCGUGAGUGAUGAAGGCCUUAGGGUUGGUAAAGACUCUUUUACCCGGGUACUGAUAAUAGACAGUACCGGGA
RNAcentral lists this ribosomal RNA (413 nucleotides) under uncultured bacterium. Its description in RNAcentral is "bacterial SSU rRNA". It matches the Rfam family "Bacterial small subunit ribosomal RNA", at positions 29 to 483 of the family's 1533-position model. The record is from RNAcentral.